UAAUAUUUGCCGAAUUUCCACAGGAAAACGGGGGAACCAAUUUUUAGGGGUGAAUUUCCAAGUCUGCCGGACGGAGCGUCCGCCGCAGGACGAAUAGGGUGACUGUGCAGCCCGAACCCGUCAGCUAACCUCGUAGGCGUAUUGCAGAGGA
This 151-nucleotide small RNA is filed under the name Paenibacillus ihumii. RNAcentral's name for it is "ydaO/yuaA leader". It matches the Rfam family "c-di-AMP riboswitch aptamer (ydaO/yuaA leader)". From Rfam's summary of the family: This family represents a conserved RNA structure found upstream of the ydaO and yuaA genes in Bacillus subtilis and related genes in other bacteria. The ydaO/yuaA element is thought to act as a genetic "off" switch for the ydaO and yuaA genes in its native state. The record is from RNAcentral. Lineage: Bacteria; Bacillati; Bacillota; Bacilli; Caryophanales; Paenibacillaceae.